Long non-coding RNA from Corvus hawaiiensis (hawaiian crow), 579 nucleotides. RefSeq lists it as uncharacterized. Lineage: Eukaryota; Metazoa; Chordata; Aves; Passeriformes; Corvidae. The transcript is spliced from 2 exons. The record is from RefSeq and is a predicted model, not a curated record.
AGCACCACUACAGGCACCGAGAGGACAUAACAUCAGAGAGCGGCUCCUCUGCCCUCCAAAACAACAACUUUCCUACCAUCUUGGAGACACAUUCCUGUUCCUUGGCAGGCUGUACAGGCAGGAGUGCACAGGAGCAGGCGAGAUGAAGGUUACUGCAGCUGAAGGUAACUGGCGAUGCACCCGCUGAGAAGUUCUGCCAGUCGGCCACCAGGUGGAACCAGGGCUGCACUCGGGGAAUUGCAGGAAUUGCAUCUCCUCCGGGGCUGGGCUCAGCUCCAAAACAAAGCCUGACAAAGCCCCUGCCCACUCCAGCACAGAUAAAGGCACCCACCGGCCUUACACGUGGAGUGAGCUGCAUCAGCACACUGGCGGCUCAGGCAGUGUGAUCACCUGACUGGUCAGCCCUUACCUUAACCACCAAGAACAAUACUCAGAGCGUGUUUAUCUCCCACCAUCCCAGCUCUUUAUCGCUGCUUUUUCGUAAUUCUCUAAUCUGAGGUUGCAGCUUCAGAACCGGCAAAUAGGAGCACUAGCUGUAAACUUUUUCUCUUAAAUAAACAGAAGUAAGUUGCGUGAAUA